CGUGUAGGCGGCGUGUUAAGUCUGACUUUAAAGACCGGGGCUCAACCUCGGAAGUGGGUUGGAUACUGGCAGGCUAGACCUCUGGAGAGAGAACCGGAAUUCCUGGUGUAGCGGUGGAAUGCGUAGAUACCAGGAGGAACACCGAUGGCGAAGGCAGGUUCUUGGACAGAAGGUGACGCUGAGGCGCGAAAGUGUGGGGAGCGAACC
RNAcentral lists this ribosomal RNA (207 nucleotides) under uncultured Deinococcus sp. RNAcentral's name for it is "partial 16S ribosomal RNA". It matches the Rfam family "Bacterial small subunit ribosomal RNA", at positions 568 to 774 of the family's 1533-position model. Lineage: Bacteria; Thermotogati; Deinococcota; Deinococci; Deinococcales; Deinococcaceae. The record is from RNAcentral.